CUGAUCUCUGUCCCGCGGGAACCCUAGCCGCUGCCCUCGCCCACUCGUCCUCCUCCCCGCUCCCCUUCCUGGCGGCGCUCCCGACCGCCGACGUCUUCUCCUCCCCACAGUCGAACUCAGGCCGCCGCUCCGUCUCGCGUCCCCGUCGCACCUCCCCUCAAACCGCCGCUCCGCGCGCCCCGCAGCCGCCGCGCUUCCGUCUGGUUCUCCUCCCCCUUCCUUUCCCAUCGCGGAACUAGCCGCCGUCGCUGCUCGCCCCAUCCCCCUGGCGCCGCCACCCCGGCCUCCUUCCCUGGACAUGGUGAGCGUGAGCAGCAGCGAGAGGAGCACGACUGGUGACUGGGCACUGCUGUACGAGGGUCGCGCCGAGCACGCCAUGGAGCACGGCGGCCAGCUCUGCUCGUGGGACGACCUGUGUGCCGCCAUCGCCACCACUGACGCCGCCGGAGGCAAUGCAUCAGCAAAAAGCGGGUGGCGCCGCCGGGGAGCGCCAUGAUAGAUGAGUUGCGUGGCGCAAAGUGGGACGACAAGAUUCAAUUCGUUGUGAAUUAUCGAUUUAGAUCUUGUUGGAGAGAUUGGGGGCCAGAAAUUGACUUUGCAGUGGUGUUCACUGGCAUGUCCCCGUCGGGCUCGGGAGGAAAUGUUGGAAAGAAGCAUCCACACCCAGCCGUCCUCCCGCUCUGGUUGUUCCAGCUACCCCUGUAGCAUGAACCAUGAAGCGCCUAUGCAGUGCAUGCAAGGCUCCAACAAAAAAGUGAUACUGUGCCAAACGUGGAUGUUCCAUAUGAAAGGGGUAGCCUGUCCUGCACCGCGACACAAAGAUGACGGGAUGAUUCAUCUAUGCAUUUCAGUCAAGCUCGCGCGUUGCCAUCACCAGGAGGAGGGCCGGCCGCCGAGACGGCCGCCCAAGUCUGCUAUUGCCGUCGUCCUUCAGUAAGACCGGGGGGCGGUGACACAUUCCCAGUGCGCGUUGCUUGUUGUCACAUUGGCCACCUGACGGAGAUGGAAGAGCUUCGUUGCUAGCCCCACAAUGGAAGAGGAUGCCAAGACGAGGAAUGUAAUCAAUCCCUGCCUUACUGUCCCGACGACAGAGAUGAUGACUCCGAACCUAGGUGCUCAGCAGGAGCAGCGACAAGAGCAACACAACCUGUCAACGAGUUUGGCCCUCUUUGUGGUAACUACUUCUUCUUUUAUUCGGAGUAUCCAAUGGAAAGUGGGUCUCUAUCAUUUAGAAGUUUGCACCAACCCAUACUCUUCCUCUAUAUCGAAUGACUGGUUAUGUGUGAUGCCUCGGUGGAUUAGGAUAUGAAAUUGAUGCUAAAGGUAACCAAUCUCACCUUUUGCAUAUUUCCUGUUAAAACAAAAUUGAACCAUAUCCUGAAUCUGCACCUAUUAUGUUGAUUGCUAAUUUUCUUCAUGACCCUAUCAUGGUUUGGAUUGUUGUGGCUUCCAAGCAAUUAUAUAACAGGAGCAAGGUUUCGUAGCAUGGCCCGUGACCUCUUCCAUUUGCUUUGGACGAAUGAUGUUAUAUAACCUUUUUGUUUGACAUUCGGAAGUCGUCUCUGCCCUUUCCCCUUUAUUUGUGAAUUGCCUUAUGUUUUGCAUGUAUAUUCUCCAUUGAAACACUCUGUUCUGCUUGCUGCUGCCUCAUUCUUUUAGAUAUAAAAUACUGCAUAGAACAUGACUAAUUGGGUCUCUAUAUUUAAUUUCAGUUUAGGAUGGUGGAAAUUCACAUUCUUUUUCAAAACCAUAUUUAGUUCGUUUAUCCUGCAUUAUCUAUGACAAGUCGAUAAAAGAUGUAAAUGUUAUUUGUUCUUGCUCAUGCUCUUUUCUUAUGUCUGUUCAGGCAUAACCUCACCAAACUUUGCUACACUUAACAUCAUGAGGGAUGGAGGGUAUGUAAGUAAUUUCGCGACAACAUAUCAUAUUGCUUUAAGUAUUACUGAGUCCGAAUUUGUAGUAGUGUAGUAUCCCAUCAUUCUGUCAGCCAGACAUUGAACUCACUCUGGACUCGAUCAGUAGUAUUUGAAUUUCUCAUAUGUUGGUUAAAACUAUCAGUGGUGUAGUAUCCAAUCAUUCUGUUAGCCAAACAUUGAACUGGUCGUGGACUCGGUCAGAAGUAUUUGAAUUUCUCAUGUACCGUCAGAAUAACCCUAUCAGGACCCUAUUUGGAGCAACAAAAGUAUUUGUCAGCAGGGUAAUAUCGUUCUCCUAUAAAAAAAAUGAAAUUGUGAGGUGAGGGUUAAGAUGUGGUCAGCAUGGUAAUGACUCAGACUCCUUGAAAUUCUUAUAGAGGAAAUCAGAUGACUCCAUUUGGAACGAAAACUGAAAAACACAACUUCCAAUUGGCUUUCAAAGAAUAGCAGCAGAUCCAACCAUGGCUAGCCAGAAUAGGUUCUUCUUUGUCAAUUGGGUUAGAGAGACGAUCUUGAUUGGUCAAUAUGGUAGUAUACAAAAUAUGUUGCAAUUUUAAAUGACUGUAGAUUUGAUGGUUCAGUUUCACAAGCAAUUGACCUUUGUAUCAAUUAUCCUGUGUAUACAUUAUGCUAUAUGACCAUGGAAGUUGUGCCUACAAAAUAUAGAGCAGUUUGGUCUACAAAACAUUUUGCAAAUAUCUUUUACAGUCCGGAUGUGUGUUUUCCUUUGACCCUGCAAACAAAUUGUGAAAGAAUGAGCAGUUCUGGAAAAUACCAAAGGCACAUCUAAGCACAGUAGAAUGCCCACAUAUCUCUUUAUCGCUAUAUAAUUCGUUUUGGUACCAUCUGACCCAAUGUUUUUCAUUUUCCUUCUGCUCCAGACCAGGCAAGCAGCGGCAACGCCGGACAGGCCGCUCUCGCACCAGACUCCCUUCAGGGUAGUUACCCACGGGCACGCACUUCUACCGUUUAUUCUUACUCGUGAUUCCACUUGUUGUGACUGUGGCUCGAUCCAUGUUGCGGCCCAAUUAUUAUUUUUAGUUGCGAUGGAUCGUCUUGGCUUGCUUUUGGCACACCUGAUUCCACUACCUUUUGUUGUUGCUUGGACCAGUUUCUAUGUAUUGAACAUAUUUAUAUCAGUGUUGUGCUUCUGAUAUAAUCUUGCUAUGUUAUACCGGUGAUUUCUACUUGCGCCAGUGAGUAUACAAAGUCAUACUCAUGUUGUGAUGCAAAUACUUCCUUUGGCUAAAUAGUAUAAUUAUGACAGGUUCAUACAUCAUGUCGAGGAGUAUUAAGUUAUUGCAUGUGUACUUAGGUUCUUUGGCGUGUUGUUCAUAGGGUUAUCAAGUAGGGUCCUAAUAGGGUUAUUCAUAGUAUUAAGUUAGGGAUUGAACCUAUGUUGCUCCAAUAUCAUGCUAUUGUUUAUAUUUACAAUGCUUUGAUGACUGUAUUGCUGUUAUUGAAUUUGAUAUGACUUGUACCCGGCAGCGGUGCUGCCGGGUGCGGCAAGCCGCACUUCCUACCUAGUUAAGAGGAGCGGGGAGGGAGCAGCACCCCGAGGUAAUUAAGAGGAUGAGGAACGGCCAGUCGUCAGUCCAUUUCUUUCCUCUCUCUAUUCUUCUCUGUGAAAUCCGAAGAUCUCUGCAGCGAAUCGAAGAGAAUCGCUGUGCUCCUCCACGACUAGCGAGAGGAUGGGCGACACUGCCGAUGGAGAGAUGGUUGCAGAUUUUGUCUGUGCCCUUUCAACCACGAGAGCAGGGCAAGCGGCAUCAACAUGUAUGUCUGGAAGGAGUUCAAAAACGCAGGGGUAACUCCGCAGCCUAUGUUCGUUUUUUAUUUGUAUUUUUUUCAUUUUCCGAUCCUUAUUUUUUAUUUUAUACUCAUCAUCACAGAAUAUAUUGUUGAAGGUUGGCCUUUUUCCAUUUUUCUCCCUGAGUUUUGAAGCAGAGGGGAGCCCCUAGUUAACUAGUUGUUUACAUUGAAUCAUUGGAAUUUUUUUGUCCAUCGUGUCAAGUUCUUCCUGUGUGGUUAGAGAGUAGAAAAACACUUACUGUCAUAAUAGGGAUUUAUAAGUCUAAAAAAAUAGGGAUCAUUUUUUAAUGUUUGUAGCUUGGCUUUACUUCAAGAAACCAUGGCCAUGAUUUUAACUAGCAGCAGCAACUUUAUUUUGUCUUAUUAGUGUUUUACUAGCAACAGUCUUCUCUAUUUUGUAACUGUGUUUUUUGCUUGAUAUGGUUGGUUCAUAUUUUAAGAGUUCAGUGUAUCUUUUUUUUCUAGCCAUUUUUCUGACCCAUGUAGAAUGUAGAAUGUAUAGUGUAGGUUUUUGUAGAAUUCACAGUUUGAUGUUCAUGUUCAAACCAUGUAGGUUGUUUCAUGUAGAUUUUUGUUGCUUGUUCCUGUCGUUUGUGAUUUUUCUGAUUUUUCUGAUUUGUAGCUCGUUUCCUGUAGGGUUUUUUCAUUUUUUUGUUUCUUUGUUCCGUCAAGCCUAGUAUCAUAUGCUAGUCUUUCCCUAAUAAUAAACCAGCGACUGCUUCUGGUCGUCCGUCAUUAGGCUUUUUGCAAAAAGGUCCUCCCGUUUCUAAGAAAUUAACCCGCAGUCUGUUUUAAGUAACUAAUUUAAGAAAACGUUUCGUUUUUACAAAAAGGCCCUGUAAUUUGGUAUAUUCAACCCGCGGUCCAGACGUCGACGCAACGGCGUGGCGGCGCAAUGCAGAAAGGGGGCGGUGGAUGGAGAUUGCAGGGGCCGGAUCCGCGCGCGGCAGGGGCUGGGAAGGCGGAUCCGGAGGCGGGCGGCGCGGCGGGGAUCGCCGGUGACGACGAGGAAGACUAGCGCGGCUUCCCGGGCGGAUCCAUGGCGUCCACGGCUCUUGGGUAGAGAGGAGACAAGGAGGUGAGGGAGAGAAGAAGGGACAAAGGAGGAGUGGUGCGGCGACCUAGGAAGGAGCUUGCCGAAGCCGGGCGACGGCGGACGGGCGCGGGAGACGGAGGGAUCCGGUGCGGCGGCGCGAAUCCUGCUACAGGUGCGAGCCGCUCGUCUUCUAGGACCACCCUCAAGACGACGGUGGUGUCAACGGCUAGGCGCACGGCGGCAGCCCUCCCGUUGCUACGGAGCCUGGUGGAGUGCCCUGAGGCCGCAGAUGCUGCUGCUACACCCGCACCACCAGCCCAAGGUCAGUCUCCUUCACCUCGUUCUACAGCGCAACUCCCGUCUGGCACCAUGCUGCCUUACUUCUGCCCCUCUGGUUUGGAGAUUGUGCGCUCUCAGCUCUGCUGGGCAGGCCGUGCUCUCUUGCGUGCGAGCAAGGGAGAAGAGCGAGCUUGCUGAUUCUUACCUGCAGCUCCAACAUUUAAGCCUGCAAAUCGAAUCUUCAGAUUUGUCUUCUACAAAAUAGGAUUUUUUUACAGUUACAUACUCAUUGAAGUUACAUGUUGUGCAGUUUAGAAAUUUGAUUACUAGGGGACUUUUACUACAUGUCCAGUUGUUUCAUGAUAAAAGGAGCGCGCACCAAACGUUUGUUGAAUUGCUGCUUGAAGAAAAUGUAUGGAGUUUUUAUUGCGUGCUUCAAGUCAUAAACCACGUAAAAUAAAUCCUAUAAGCUGUUCUUACCAUACAAUCGUUUGAACCAAUUUUGUAAACUUAGUACGAUAUGAUUAUUGUUUUUGUAGGGUUUCCUAUAGAUAUAUUUGAGCUAUUAAAAAUGUGAUUAUAUCAUUUGUCAUCUGAAAACCACACUCAUGUAUACAUUAUGGGACAUAAUGUCCAGGAAAUAAUCACCAGGUACAAACAUCACUCUUAACCUAUGUUGUACAACAUUGCAUAAUUUUCUGUUUUUUGUGAGGUACCGUCAGUAUUUUUUUAUCGCAUACAUAUAUAGAACAAAGGUCACAAGAGCUGAUUUUGUGCACCUUGCUGCAUCUGCACUCACUUGAUUAAGAUAUUCAAAGUGUGAGCUUUUGAAAUUUCCAAAAAUAAGUCAGAUUGUCAUUAUUAACCUAUGUGCACAUGCCAAUAUUUUCUGACUCUGUGACAAUUGUCUUUGAGAAUAAUUGGAUGAACCACCAUGUCGCCCUUGCGCCUGGUUCCAUGGGAAAGUAAUUUACAAAGCUCCAGUUGGUCAAUACAGCCUACAUGUUUGUUUUAACAGGCAGCUACAGGUUGACAUUUUUUAUCUGAUUCCAUGUUUUUUACCACUGCUUAACUUUAUUUGAAAAACUGUUGUUGUUAUGUACGCAUGAUACAGUACUAGAGUUGUAUGCAGGAUAUAGUACUAGAGUUGGAAUUUCAGGGCAUCCAAAAAGAACUUACUAUGCUUCAGCCCAUGUUUUCUAGCAUUGCUUGCCUUUAUUUGAAAAACUGUUGUUGUUAUGUAUGCAAGAUACAAUACUAGAGUUGUAAUUUCAGGGCAUCCAAAAGAACUUACUAUGCUUCAGCCCAUGUUUUCUACCAUUGCUUGCCUUUAUUUGAAAAACUGUUGUUGUUAUGCAUGCAAGAUACAAUACUAGAGUUGGAAUUUCAGGGCAUCCAAAAAGAAUUUACUAUGCUUCAGGUAAGAAAGUUAAUUUGUUUGACUUUUGUAAGGACUAAAUUACUAGCUUAAUGCAUGGAACUUAUUGAGCUGCAGACAUGGCAUGUGCGUACAUAGAGACCUGCUGUGGAUACACCUCUUCUUACAGGACAGACUGUCUACGAAUUAUCUUGAGCUUCAAUUUCCAUAAUAAAACGUGUGCUUUUAUGUAUCAUGGUUUCUCCUCCUACAUAACCAAAAUUUCCAGAUGUUGUUUUAUCAUUUCCUUCCAGCGCCAUUAAAUCUCAGUCUUACCUAUGUUGAAAUGGUUCCAGCGUGUGCAUGAUGCACUGCUCCCCUUAGUUUUCGGAGGAAGAUGCUGCUAUUCCUGGUGCUUUUGGUUAUGGAAAAACUGACAUUAGUCAGGAACUUUCUAAGUACUCUAAUUCUGAAGCUUUGGUUUAUGUGGGAUGUGGCUGAAAGAGGAAAUGAGAUGGCCGAGAUUCUAAUGGAUUUCCCCCAAUCGACAAUGACAUUUCUUGACAUGAUGUGAAGAGUGGAGCCGCUUAAAGUACAUGGCGAGCUCACCAUGCUCACCUUUCUUCCUACAGAUUGGGAGCCGCCGACCAUGACCCAUGGUGUGUAGAUGAUACACCGGUGAUGCGUUCCAAGGGACGAAGAGGAGCUCAUGAUUUUCGGGGACGAGGAGGAGCUUGCGAUUUCCAGACUCGGCCUGCCCGACCUGCUGACGCAUGAGGAGGACUAGGAGUCUGGUGUUUUCUCUGCAAUGAAGCACGGAUGUCUUCGGGUGCAAUGCAUGGGCUCUUUUGCUUUUACAAACUUCAGUUCUAAUUUUAGUGUUCGACUAAUAGUAGUCUGUUGGAACAAGUGCAAAGGCAACAUCAUCUUCCAGCAGAAGAUUUCCCCUGCAUUGAGCGUUUCAGAGAUGCACUAGGUAGGUAAAACAUCGACAAUUUAGAGAAAGUCAAGCUAUAUUUACUACUACUAUGUUGUAUUAACAAAUCUAGCACAACGUUUACGAGUCGAAGAGUCGACGAGUCGUUCCAAGGUUGAGACUCAUAGAGACUAGUGCGAGACUAGUCGACAUGGUACUGUAGCACUGAACUUACAGUACAUAACUAAUAAUACCUAGUAGUAGUAUGUAGUAUUACACUAUAUAAGUAUACAAGUACAGUAUACAAUUGAAACAAGCAAAGUGGAGUCACUGAGGCAGAGCAGCACCAGCAACUAGCAGCAAGCACAGCAGCACCAGCAGUCUAUCUGCGAGCAGAGCAGCACCAACAGCAAGCAGAGCAGCACCAGCAGUCCAGCAGCGGAGCAGAGCAACAGCAGCGGCAAGCCAAGAAGAAAGAGGAGGAGAAAGGAGGGGCAAGGCAGAGCAGCACCAGCAGUCCAGCAGCGAGGCAGAGCAGCACUGAGGCUCACCUGCCUGAAGAGGAGAAGAGCACGAGGGGUCGGCGGCACGAGGAGGGGCGCGAGACGAAGGAGCAGGAGGGGCGCGAGACGAAGGCGAUGGUGGAGCUUCAGAUCCGCGACGUGGGGCCGGCGACGGUGGAGCUUCAGAUCCGCGGCGGCGGGCGUCCAGCGGCCGGCGGCGCGAGGAGGGCUCGACGGGCGCGUCCAGCAGCCGGCGGCGCGUCCAGGUGAGGAGGGGAAAGAAAGGAUUAGGUCUCCCGCGGGAUGAGGCAUCGUAUUUUUGUACUCCCCCAGUUUUUUGAGUCGUUCGACUCGAACAUGUCGACUAGUCUGGACUAGUCGUCGACUAGUCGAUGACUGGCUUGACUCGUACAAGUAGUCUACACGAGAAACCGAGUCGACAACCAGUUUGCGACUCAUAGACUAGUCGAGCGACUAGUCUAGACUAGUCGUUCGACUCGUAAUCGUUGAUCUAGCAUCAGUUCGAAUGAUUUAAGGAAAGUAAACAGAGAUGUUGAUGAGCUUAAUUAAUUCAAAAUUGUUCUUGAUUUUUGUUUCUAGAUGAAAUAUUUGAUUCAUUGUUGUGGAUUUUCCAGGACAAAGCAGGUUCUGGUGGACAAAGAGGUGAUAAGCGAUGAACUCUUCCGGUAGAAAAGUUGAUGGUCCUAAUUUGUUUAUAAUUUAUUUCUUGAUCCCUUUAAUUUACGCAACAUCUCUGGUUUUCGUGUUCUGUGAUAAUAUAUUUGAGUAUAGUCACAGGCUACGCAAAAUGAUUAUUUACGUUCCUAAUUUAUCUUCCUCUUUCAUGGUGGUAGGGAAACAUCAUCGUUAGUUUGCACGAGCUAGGACUUUGCAGAAUUUUGUCAAUAGCAUUUAUCAGGAUAUAUUUUUUCUUAUUCCUUUCUAUAUUUAGACAAGAAAGAAACAUAGAGAAUCUUAAUCCUAUACUUUAGCAGUACCUGCAGCAGAGCAAGCUGUUGUCUCAAAUUUAACAGAAGAUGGAAAUGAAUGGUUGCUUUGUUGCAGGUUACUCCAAGAACAAGUGCAUUAUCAAACUAGAUGUUGUAUAUUAUCCGUCCUUCAUCUUGAUGCUUGUGUAUCCUGCGACAAGUCCAAGCUUAAUCAGGAUAAUCUGAUUAGUGCGUCACAAGUCUGCUAUUUCUAAUUGUACCAAUUCUGUACUUAUUUUAGCAUUUUACAUAAUGUGUAGAUUUUUCUGUAUUUCUAAUCGUACCAGUUCUGUACUUAUUUUAGUAUUUUACAUAAUGUGUAGAUUUCCCCGUAUUUCUAAUUGUACCAGUUCUGUACUUAUUUUUGCUAUAUUAUUUAGUUCAAAAUGACUUUGUAAAUCCCAGUUUCUCCAGUAUUGUAACUCUGUCAAAUUGUCCAAUUAAACUGAUAUUUCUCUUUGGACAACUUCAA
Molecule: non-coding RNA, 9280 nt
Organism: Aegilops tauschii subsp. strangulata
Lineage: Eukaryota; Viridiplantae; Streptophyta; Magnoliopsida; Poales; Poaceae
Source: RefSeq, a predicted model, not a curated record